AUACAGGUGUUGUCAUGGCUGUCGUCAGCUCGUGUCGUGAGAUGUUCGGUUAAGUCCGCUAACGAGCGCAACCCUCGUCGUAUGUUAUAUGUGUCAUACGAGACUGCCGGUAAAAAGCCGGAGGAAGGUGAGGAUGAUGUCAAGUCAGCAUGACCUUUAUAUCCAGGGCUACACACACGCUACAAUGGUCUGUACAAUGGGUAGCCAAGCCGCGAGGCGGAGCCAAUCCUGAAAGCAGGCCUCAGUUCAGAUUGCAGUCUGCAACUCGACUGCAUGAAGCCGGAGUUGCUAGUAACCGCAGGUCAGCAAUACUGCGGUGAAUACGUUCCCGGGUCUU
Molecule: ribosomal RNA, 337 nt
Filed under: uncultured Anaerolineaceae bacterium
Lineage: Bacteria; Bacillati; Chloroflexota; Anaerolineae; Anaerolineales; Anaerolineaceae
Description: bacterial SSU rRNA
Rfam family: Bacterial small subunit ribosomal RNA
Source: RNAcentral